GCCAUCAACUGAAGGCAGAUAGAGCAGGUGGCCUGCUCCCACAUCUUCUUGCUGGUGGUGGCCGACGCCAUGCCUCUGCCGAAUCCUGCAAUGCCGGACCCAGAGGCUCCCCACAGCAGAGGCGGAGCCCUGACCA
Pipistrellus kuhlii (Kuhl's pipistrelle) is the source of this 136-nucleotide long non-coding RNA. RefSeq lists it as uncharacterized. The transcript is spliced from 3 exons. NCBI's taxonomy places the organism in Eukaryota, Metazoa, Chordata, Mammalia, Chiroptera, Vespertilionidae. The record is from RefSeq and is a predicted model, not a curated record.